This 195-nucleotide ribosomal RNA is filed under the name uncultured Geobacter sp. RNAcentral describes it as "partial 16S ribosomal RNA". It matches the Rfam family "Bacterial small subunit ribosomal RNA", at positions 338 to 524 of the family's 1533-position model. The record is from RNAcentral. Lineage: Bacteria; Pseudomonadati; Thermodesulfobacteriota; Desulfuromonadia; Geobacterales; Geobacteraceae. RNAcentral also lists the same sequence under 1 other name.
CCUACGGGAGGCAGCAGUGGGGAAUUUUGCGCAAUGGGGGAAACCCUGACGCAGCAACGUCGCGUGAGUGAUGAAGGCCUUCGGGUCGUAAAGCUCUGUCAGAGGGGAAGAAGUGCAACGGUGCUAAUACCAUCUUUGCUUGACGGUACCCUCAAAGGGAGCACCGGCUAACUCCGUGCCAGCAGCCGCGGUAAU